This 1012-nucleotide ribosomal RNA is filed under the name uncultured Clostridium sp. RNAcentral's name for it is "bacterial SSU rRNA". It matches the Rfam family "Bacterial small subunit ribosomal RNA", at positions 521 to 1533 of the family's 1533-position model. Lineage: Bacteria; Bacillati; Bacillota; Clostridia; Eubacteriales; Clostridiaceae. The record is from RNAcentral.
UAAUACGUAGGUGGCAAGCGUUGUCCGGAUUUAUUGGGCGUAAAGCAUGCGUAGGCGGAUACUUAAGUGGGAUGUGAAAACCCGGGGCUCAACUCCGGACCUGCAUUCCAAACUGGGUGUCUAGAGUACAGGAGAGGAAAGGGGAAUUCCUAGUGUAGCGGUGAAAUGCGUAGAGAUUAGGAAGAACACCAGUGGCGAAGGCGCCUUUCUGGACUGUAACUGACGCUGAGGCAUGAAAGCGUGGGUAGCAAACAGGAUUAGAUACCCUGGUAGUCCACGCCGUAAACGAUGAGUACUAGGUGUCGGGGUUUCAAUACUUCGGUGCCGCAGUUAACACAUUAAGUACUCCGCCUGGGGAGUACGAUCGCAAGAUUAAAACUCAAAGGAAUUGACGGGGGCCCGCACAAGUAGCGGAGCAUGUGGUUUAAUUCGACGCAACGCGAAGAACCUUACCUGGGCUUGACAUCCUAAGAAGUCGGUGGAAACACUGAUGUGCCCUUCGGGGAACUUAGAGACAGGUGGUGCAUGGUUGUCGUCAGCUCGUGUCGUGAGAUGUUGGGUUAAGUCCCGCAACGAGCGCAACCCUUGUUGUUAGUUGCUACCAUUAAGUUGAGCACUCUAGCAAGACUGCCUGGGUAACCAGGAGGAAGGUGGGGAUGAGUCCAAAUCAUCCUGCCCCCUAUGUUCCAAGGCCUACACACGUGCUACAAUGGUUGGUACAGAGAGACGCAAGACCGUGAGGUGGAGCAAAUCCCAUAAAACCAAUCUCAGUUCGGAUUGUAGGCUGAAACUCGCCUACAUGAAGCUGGAGUUACUAGUAAUCGCGAAUCAGAAUGUCGCGGUGAAUGCGUUCCCGGGCCUUGUACACACCGCCCGUCACACCAUGAGAGUCGAUAACACCCGAAGUCCGUGAGGUAACCGUAAGGGGCCAGCGGCCGAAGGUGGGAUUGAUGAUUGGGGUGAAAUCGUAACAAGGUAGAGCUCUCAGUCAGUCAAAUCACUAGUGAAUUCG